GGAGUCUGGUCCGUGUCUCAGUACCAGUGUGGGGGACCUUCCUCUCAGAACCCCUAACGAUCGUUGGCCAGGUGGGCCGUUACCCCGCCUGCUGCCUAAUCGUACGCAUCCCCAUCCAUCGGCGACCGAAGUCUUUCGUGAAAAUCAGAGGCCUUCUUCUCACAACAUCAGGUAUUAGGCUCCCUUUCGGGAGUUUAUCCCUGACCCAUGGGCAGGUUGGAUACGCGUUACUCACCCGUGCGCCGGUCGCCGGCAAUUAAAGCAAGCUUCAAUCCCGCUGCCCCUCGACUUGCAUGUGUUAGGCCUGUCGCUAGCGUUCAUC
This 322-nucleotide ribosomal RNA is filed under the name uncultured Prevotella sp. RNAcentral describes it as "partial 16S ribosomal RNA". The record is from RNAcentral. Lineage: Bacteria; Pseudomonadati; Bacteroidota; Bacteroidia; Bacteroidales; Prevotellaceae.